GCCCAACCGGGGAGGGUCAUUGGAAACUGGGGAACUUGAGUGCAGAAGAGGAGAGUGGAAUUCCACGUGUAGCGGUGAAAUGCGUAGAGAUGUGGAGGAACACCAGUGGCGAAGGCGACUCUCUGGUCUGUAACUGACGCUGAGGCGCGAAAGCGUGGGGAGCGAACAGGAUUAGAUACCCUGGUAGUCCACGCCGUAAACGAUGAGUGCUAGGUGUUAGGGGUUUCGAUGCCCGUAGUGCCGAAGUUAACACAUUAAGCACUCCGCCUGGGGAGUACGGCCGCAAGGCUGAAACUCAAAGGAAUUGACGGGGACCCGCACAAGCAGUGGAGCAUGUGGUUUAAUUCGAAGCAACGCGAAGAACCUUACCAGGUCUUGACAUCCUUUGACCACCCAAGAGAUUGGGCUUCCCCUUCGGGGGCAAAGUGACAGGUGGUGCAUGGUUGUCGUCAGCUCGUGUCGUGAGAUGUUGGGUUAAGUCCCGCAACGAGCGCAACCCUUGAUCUUAGUUGCCAGCAUUGAGUUGGGCACUCUAAGGUGACUGCCGGUGACAAACCGGAGGAAGGUGGGGAUGACGUCAAAUCAUCAUGCCCCUUAUGACCUGGGCUACACACGUGCUACAAUGGAUGGUACAAAG
This 637-nucleotide ribosomal RNA is filed under the name uncultured bacterium. RNAcentral's name for it is "bacterial SSU rRNA". It matches the Rfam family "Bacterial small subunit ribosomal RNA", at positions 607 to 1244 of the family's 1533-position model. The record is from RNAcentral.